This 614-nucleotide unclassified non-coding RNA is filed under the name Hevea brasiliensis (rubber tree). Lineage: Eukaryota; Viridiplantae; Streptophyta; Magnoliopsida; Malpighiales; Euphorbiaceae. The record is from RNAcentral.
GAUGUCUGGAUUAGUCUGGCUAAUGCAGGGAUAGUUCCAGUUGAACAAGCACAUAUAUCACUCUCUGGUAAAAACCAAGAUUCUGUUGUCUCAAUACCAUAUGAAACCUUAAAAUCUGCCCUUCCUUUGAAGCCUGGUGCAGAAGUGAUCCUACCUGUGACAUUGAAAGCCUGGCAGCAUGGACCAGUAGACCCUGAUAUUACUGGUGGUAAGCUUGCCUCUGGAAGUAUGGGGAGGCAGUUAAAGGAUGGUAGCAGCCCCACAUUGUUGAUUCAUUAUGCUGGGCCAUUGACAGAUUCUGGAGAUCCUCCAACAAAAGAAUCUGUUUUUCCUCCUGGUAGACGCCUGGUGGUUCCCUUACACAUUUGUGUUUUGCAAGGUUUGUCUUUUGUGAAAGCUUGCUUGCUUUCAAUGGAAAUUCCUGCACAUGUUGGCCUAAAUCUUCCAGAACCAGUUCAUGUUGAGACUAAUGGUAGCAAAGAAGCUGUUGGUUCAAAAAGUAAGAUGGAUGGAUUGCUAAAAAUUGAUCCUUUCAGAGGAAGUUGGGGGCCACGUUUUCUUGAAUUAGAAUUGUCUAAUCCAACUGAUGUUGUGUUUGAAAUUAGCGUUUCUGU